Molecule: RNA transcript, 3982 nt
Organism: Magnolia sinica
Lineage: Eukaryota; Viridiplantae; Streptophyta; Magnoliopsida; Magnoliales; Magnoliaceae
Gene name: pentatricopeptide repeat-containing protein At4g21300
Exons: 5
Source: RefSeq, a predicted model, not a curated record
GGCUAUAUAGCUGGUGUGUGGUACACCAGCCAAUCCGCUUCCGUUCAGAUGGAUGAAAUGGUGUGUUGUAGCCGUUGGAUUCCUUUCAAAUAAACCCGCCCAAAAAAUCCCUAUAAUAUCUCCCGCAGCAAAACUUCCCAACCUUCCCUCCACAAAAAUAUUAAAAAAUAAAUGAUAUCCACCUUUUGAAAAUCAAUGCAUGAGAAGAAUCUCUUCCCAAUCUGCAAACGCUUCUCAAUCUUCUCUGCAUUACCCUCAAAAUCCAACCCAUUAGUCCCCAGAAAUCUAACAAAUUCAGCUCCAAAUCACGUAGACUCCGAUGGGUUUUCCCCAAAUCUGGUUGGAAAUUUUGCGGGUCAAUUUUCGUCAAUGUUGCAAGAAUUUUCCAACCCUCCUGGUCUUCAGAAAGGGCGCCAAGUUCAUGCCCAAGUUGUUGUAAACGGAUUUAGUGACAUGGGUUUCCUUGCAACAAGGAUUUUAGGUAUGUAUGUUCUUUGCAGAAGCUUUGAAGAUGCGAAAAGUGUGUUUUCUCGGGUCGAGAAGUGGUACCCGUUGCCUUGGAAUUGGAUGAUUAGGGGAUUUACCAUGAUGGGCUGUUUUGAAUUCGCAUUGUUAUUUUACUUCAAGAUGUUGGGUGGUGGUGUUUCACCGGAUAGAUAUACAUUCCCAUAUGUAAUUAAGGGUUGUUCUGGCUUAAAUGCUGUUAAAUUGGGAAGACUGAUUCAUGAGAGUAUUCAUUUGAUGGGCUUAGAUACAGAUGUCUUUGUAGCUAGCUCUUUGAUUAAGAUGUAUGCGGAGAAUGAUGCUAUUGACGAUGCACGCCGCCUGUUUGAUAGAAUGAUUGAAAGAGAUUCUGUUUUGUGGAAUGUGAUGGUUAAUGGGUUUGUGACAAAUGGGGAUGCAAAUGAAGCUUUAGGGCUGUUUUGUACUAUGAGAAAAUCAGAAACGAGACCGAAUUCAGUGACUUUUGCUUGUGUCCUAUCAGUCUGUGCUUCAGAGGGGAAGAUUGACUACGGCAUUCAGCUUCACGGGCUUGUGAUUAAAUGUGGCUUGGAUAUGGAUGCGUCUGUUGCUAACACGCUGCUGGCCAUGUAUUCGAAAUGUGGGCGCUUGCCAGAUGCACGUAAGUUGUUCGAUAUCAUGGGCCAGGUGGAUUUGGUGACUUGGAAUGGGAUGAUUGCUGGGUGUGUCCAAAAUGGGUUUAGUGGUGAGGCAUUAGAUUUGUUCUAUGAGAUGCAAUCAGCUGGAGUCAAACCGGAUUCGAUCACAUUUUCAAGCUUUCUUCCUUCGUUUUCAGUCUCGGCUGGUCUGAAACAAGGUAAGGAGAUUCAUGGUUAUAUUGUCAGAAACGGAAUAUGUUUGGACGCAUUUUUGAAGAGUGCACUCAUAGAUAUAUAUUUUAAAUGCAGGGACGUAAAUAUGGCACGUAAGGUUUUUGAUAGAACAGGCACAGUAGAUAUAGUCAUUUGCAGUGCGAUGAUUUCGGGCUUUGUGCUGAAUGGCUUGAGUGAUGACGCUUUAGGGAUGUUCCGUUGGUUGCUAAGAGCACAAAUGAAGCCCAAUGCAGUGACAUUGGCCAGUGUUCUUCCAGCUUGUUCCUGUUUGGCUGCUUUGAGGCUGGGGAAGGAGCUUCAUUGUUACAUUUUAAAGAAUGCAUUUGAUGGAAGAUGUUAUGUGGGCAGUGCACUGACUGAUAUGUAUGCUAAAUGUGGGAGAUUGGAUCUUGGUAGCCGUGUUUUUGAAAAUAUGUUUGACAGAGAUGCUGUGUUAUGGAACACAAUGAUUUCAAGCUAUUCCCAGAAUGGGCAACCUGAAGAGGCUAUCCAUCUUUUCCGCCAGAUGGGUUUGGAAGGAAUGAGAUGUGACUGUGUUACCAUAUCAGCUGCUCUUUCAGCCUGUGCAAAUAUACCAGCGCUGAUUCAUGGUAAAGCAAUUCAUGGUUUUAUGAUGAAAGGUGCCUUGAGAUCAGACCUCUUUGCCAAGAGCGCCCUAAUAGACAUGUAUGCCAAAUGUGGCGAUUUAGUUUUUGCUCGUCGUGUGUUUGACUAUAUGCAAGAGAAGAAUGAGGUGUCAUGGAAUAGUAUUAUUGCUGCUUAUGGGACCCACGGUCUAGUGAGGGAUGCACUCGGUUUAUUCCGAGAAAUGAAGGAAGCAGGAAUUCGGCCGGAUCAUAUCACCUUUCUCGCCAUAAUAUCUUCUUGUGGCCAUUCUGGCCUAGUGGAUGAAGGUUUCAAAUACUUCCGUUGCAUGAUUGAGGAAUGUGGGAUUGUAGCUCGGAUGGAACAUUACGCUUGUAUGGUUGAUCUAUUUGGGCGUUCCGGACGACUGUAUGAGGCACUUGAUUUCAUAACAAGCAUGCCAUUCAAACCAGAUGCUGGUAUUUGGGGUGCGCUUCUUGGAGCGUGUCGUGUUCACAGAAAUGUCGAACUUGCUGAGCUCGCUUCGAAACACCUGUUUGAGCUGGAUCCUCAGAACUCGGGGUAUUAUGUUUUGAUGUCUAAUAUCCAUGCUGUGGCUGGUAAAUGGGAGGGUGUCCUGAAAGUGCGUAGCUUGAUGAAGGAAAGAGGGGUGCAAAAGCUACCUGGUUGCAGCUGGAUUGAGAUCAACAGCACAACUCAUAUGUUUAUUGCAGCGGACAGAAGUCACCCACAGUCAGCACAGAUUUAUUUGUUCUUGAAGUGUCUCCUUCUGGAGCUAAGAGAAGCAGGCUAUGUUCCAAAACCAGACCUCAUGUACCCAAUACCUAUGGAAUCCGAUGACUAGGUACACAGUUUGAGGUUGAGCAGAACAGGUGCAGCUUUGUCUAAAGCGUGGCAGAGCUGCAAAAUGGUGGGCCAAAUCACCAUGGCUGAACCAAUAAUUGAUAAGCUUAUAUACUGUAAGGUGGCACUAGAACCUGAGCCAUUCAUUUGGUGGGUCCUUUCAUUUGAUGGGUGAUGCGCAGUAUCUCCACUAUCAAGUGAUCCCAGCAAUCUGAAUGGAUAUGGAUAAUCACACCCAAUGCUCAAUGUUCCAACUGGUAUCUGGUCAGAUGGUCAGGGCCAUCACAUGGGGUGCAUUUUUGGGGUACUCAACUGCUAGUUCUUGUGGGUAAUGACAAUGAUAUACAACCUAUUGUCCAUGGCAUCCAUGCCGACCUGAUUGAGAGAAAGCCAUACAACCUACUCUCUAGGUCAAUGGCUUGAAGGCAGACAUGUAAUGGGGGGUGAAUCUUAUCUUUAGAUGAUGCAGAGCUAUCAUGUGUGAAAAUGCCCUCUAACCAAACCAAAGCCAUGACUUAUGGAAUACAUGUUUGGAAUCAGGUAAAGAAACCAUCAUUGUAUACCUAUGCUUUCCAGGUCACACAUUUGAAAAUUCAUUGCUUCCUAGAUACUCACCUCUUGCUUCUCAUUGGUUAGCCUUUUCUCGUGCAUUUCCUGCAUGUGUGAAUGUAUGUACGAGUCUUUCCAGCUACACAACAUUGUGCACCUCGUUUGAAGCUGGAGAUUGUCGAUCAUCUGUAAUUUAUUGGACUAGACUCCUGUAUUAGUUUUCUUCAUGGCAUGGAUGCUGGGCAAUUCAAACCGUCCAAAUAGUUGACCCAGCUCUAGAUGGAGUAGCACCCGGAUAGCUGAUUUUUCCAUUGGAAUUUGGGUCGCUCAGUAUUUUGCUUUUUAGCAUCCAUCUGAUAGACACUGUUCAUUAGGUUAGGAUUUCUUGAUUAGUUUGAUUUUGAAGAUAUGCUGCAUCCACAAUGGGCCACACAAUUUGAAUGGUUUGGAUGGACAUACAACAGUGCCAUGUGUUAGGAGGAUGAGGUCACAACCAUUUUCAAAAUGUUGCAACACUAGCAGAGGAGUCUUGCCCAAAUUUGGGUGGUCGAGUUUUAUCUCAAGCAUAAUAAAUUCAGGAUUUCCUGUUCUACGUAUACUUGCUCCCCAAUUACUCAAACUUACAUCACAUGAUGUUUUUACCUUUCAUGACUUUUUUUUUUUUUCCUUUU